UCCUUCAAAGCCGUUCCGCUUAAAUCAAGUUCAUACAAACUCUUCAUGGUGUCCAAGAUUUCCGGGAAAAUCUCCAAUCUCGAGCAACCUUUAAGAUAGAAUCUCCUGAGAGAUUUCAAUUUAUAAAAGCUGUCAGGAAGGAAAACAACGUUUUUACAGUUGUUCAUAUUCAAAUCCUUAAGACCAAUAAGAUUGCCAAUUGAGGAUGGUAAUUCCUUCAAAGCCGUUCCGCUUAAAUCAAGUUCAUACAACCUCUUCAUGGUGUCUAAGAUUUCCGGGAAAAUCUCCAAUCUCGAGCAACCUUUAAGAUAGAAUCUCCUGAGAGAUUUCAAUUUAUAAAAGCUGUCAGGAAGGAAAACAACGUUUUUACAGUUGUUCAUAUUCAAAUCCUUAAGACCAAUAAGAUUGCCAAUUGAGGAUGGUAAUUCCUUCAAAGCCGUUCCGCUUAAAUCAAGUUCGUACAACAUCUUCAUGGUGUCCAAGAUUUCUGGGAAAAUCUCCAAUCUCGAGCAACCUUUAAAAUAGAAUCUCUCGAGAGAUUUCAAUUUAUAAAAGCUGUCAGGAAGGCGAACAAGGUUUUCACAGUCAUCCAAGCUCAAAUGCACAAGACCAAUAAGAUUGCCAAUUGAGGAUGGUAAUUCCUUCAAAGCCGUUCCUCUUAAAUCAAGUUCGUACAACAUCUUCAUGGUGUCCAUGAUUUCCGGGAAAA
Molecule: long non-coding RNA, 709 nt
Filed under: Gossypium raimondii (Peruvian cotton)
Lineage: Eukaryota; Viridiplantae; Streptophyta; Magnoliopsida; Malvales; Malvaceae
Description: long non-coding RNA (GRAI_LNC005876)
Source: RNAcentral